This is a non-coding RNA of Chlorocebus sabaeus (green monkey), 962 nucleotides long. Lineage: Eukaryota; Metazoa; Chordata; Mammalia; Primates; Cercopithecidae. The record is from RefSeq and is a predicted model, not a curated record.
UGCCUGCAAAGAUAGAGGACCCACAUCUCAGCAUUCUCCACAACUGCUCCGGCCUCCCCACGCCUGCCUGACCUGGCCAAGACCGGAGGCUGAGGGUAAAUCCUCCUAUGAGAAAGGACAGGAACCGGCCUGCCUCUAUCAGGGCACUGUGCCAGGCUUGGACAGCCUGCUGCCCAAGUGCACAGAAGUUGCAGAACAGAAGUGGGAACAGAGAGCGUGGCCCCAGCCUCCCCUUCGCUUCUCCAUUCACCGACAGUGCCAUGACAAAGAGCAGGUGGUAAUGUGUGCAGGCGAACAUGACCCCUUCCGUCCUUAUUUAUCAAGCCACCCUUAACCACAGUUGGUUAUUCACGUAGUAGCAGGUUGAAGCUCUUCUCUGGAAAAGCACUGGAGGUAGCUCUCCAGUUUCUGGGUUGAGCAAAGUAAGGGGCAGAGAAAGAAACAAUCAAAAAGUGUCCACUUUUUUUAGUGAAGUAGAGAAAGGCUAGUCCCCCGAAGCUCCUGGGCAGCAGCACAAAAACGAGGCAGGGAAAACUCCUGAGACGCACGGAGCUGCCAAGUUCCUCUCCGGAGACAGUCCCAGGCAAGACCUCUAGACCAGCGCUCCACUCUCACCGAGUGCACGCGUUAGAGCCACCGCUAGGGGCGCCAGUCCGCCGGCCUCCUCGCUCCUUUCCCUCUUCCCCGCCUGCCCGCCUCAUCCAGCUUCUCAGACGCCCGCCAGAACCGCUUUGCCAGAACUGCCCUAAGGGGCAGUUCCCUCUGGGAGUGACUGCAGUGUCUCCUCAAUCUGCUCGUCAGACACGCCUCCCGCUCCUGCCAGCUCUGAACCUGAGACUGGUACAACUGGUCUUACAGAAGGAAGUGAAAUUCAGCCCUCUCCCUAUGACCUCACUCACUGCCUAUACUACUCAGGUUAUUGAUAUGAGUUUCUUGGUGAUAAAGAAGUUCCUCUUGCUCCA